ACGCGCCGCCGCCCCUCCCCAAUCGCGCCCCCCUCUCCAACCCUAAUCUCUCCCUCUCACGCGGCGCCACCGCCGUCGCCGCCGCCCUCGACUGCCGCCGCUCCGCCGUUGUUGCAUCCGUCGUCUCGCCGCCACCGAUCUCAAUCGCGUGAUUUCCUUUUCUUAUCCCGAAAUCGUGCAACCCUCUCACCCUAACCCUAAUCUUGUCCCCGCCGACCGACGCGCCGCCCCUCCCCGCUCGAGUCCAUGCCGCCGCAAGUUCGCCGUCGCAGGCCGCGUCACCCGGAUCAGCGUUGACGUCGCACGCCUUCCUCCUCACAUCGCCCGGCAUACGCUCGUCCUCGGUCAUAUCGGCGCCACCGCCGUCGCCGUCACACGCAGUCCUCCCCGUCCACCUCGCCGGCCUCGCGCCCUCGCCGCUCCCAACCUCGCCCACGAGGUAACUAUAGUUUUUGUUGCUCUGGAUCGAUUGAUUUACGGUUGGGCGUGAGGGGAUUGCGACAAGCCAGUGAGGUCACUGUUUUGGUUCAUAUCUUCAUGUAAAUCUUGAUGUUGCAGUUCAGGCUGUCAGGAAUUAUGUUAGCUCGUUUUCGUCCAUGCUGUUAUUACUGAUGUAAAAUGAUUGAUGGGUUGAACCAACUUGUCAGCAUUAACGAUUGUUAUAUUUCUU
This 670-nucleotide small RNA is filed under the name Oryza sativa Japonica Group (Japanese rice). RNAcentral describes it as "sRNA Os09g0336600". The record is from RNAcentral. Lineage: Eukaryota; Viridiplantae; Streptophyta; Magnoliopsida; Poales; Poaceae.